GAUGAACGCUGGCGGCGUGCCUAAUACAUGCAAGUCGAGCGAACGGACGAGAAGCUUGCUUCUCUGAUGUUAGCGGCGGACGGGUGAGUAACACGUGGAUAACCUACCUAUAAGACUGGGAUAACUUCGGGAAACCGGAGCUAAUACCGGAUAAUAUUUUGAACCCAUUGGUUCAAAGGUAAAUUCCGGUGUUGCGGUCACUUAUAGCUGGAUCCGGGCUGCAUUAGCUAGUUGGUAAGGUAACGGCUUACCAAGGCAACGAUGCAUGGCCGACCGGAGAGGCGGAUCGGCCACCCUGGAACUGAGAGACGGUCCAGACGCCUGCGGGAGGCAGCAGUAGGGAAUCGUACGCAAUGGGCGAAAGCCUGACGGAGCAACGCCGCGUGAGUGAUGAAGGUCUUCGGAUCGUAAAACUCUGUUAUUAGGGAAGAACAUAUGUGUAAGUAACUGUGCACAUCUUGACGGUACCUAAUCAGAAAGCAACGGCUAACUACGUG
Molecule: ribosomal RNA, 497 nt
Filed under: uncultured bacterium
Lineage: Bacteria
Description: partial 16S ribosomal RNA
Rfam family: Bacterial small subunit ribosomal RNA
Source: RNAcentral